This is a long non-coding RNA of Felis catus (domestic cat), 617 nucleotides long. RefSeq lists it as uncharacterized. NCBI's taxonomy places the organism in Eukaryota, Metazoa, Chordata, Mammalia, Carnivora, Felidae. The transcript is spliced from 2 exons. The record is from RefSeq and is a predicted model, not a curated record.
CAGACGUCUGCGCGUGUGGCGGGCUCCUGAGACGGGCUUAAAGGAAGAGUUUGCCCUUGUGCAGAGGGGCCGAGGAAAGUACAGGGGAGCUAUGUGAACUUCUCUGCAGAAAAACUUUCGGAUCUUACGUGUUCCAACUCCGUUGAAUGUUUUCCUGGAGACUCCACUGAGACAUGGUGUGCACUGUCCAUCACUGUGGCCCCCAGCCUUUGACCAGAUGUGGUACACGCAGAAGACCCUUGUGCCUUGCUGCUUGUGGCCUGUCAAGUCUGUGCCAUCGUCGUAAGUCAGUGCUGGGUCUGAACUCUGCUAUCUUUGCAUGGAGUUCCUCAGCUAUUUAUUGUACUUAUUCUAUCCUUGGUGGAAUCAGGCCAUUCCUUUUCAUUCUUUUUUGGCUGUCUUUUAUAUUUUUAUUUUGUAUUAUGCUACCUGAAAAUGCUGUUUGUCAUAAAAAGGAGAAUCAUAGGGUAGAACACAGCCAUAGACCCUGUGAGCCUGUUGUUCAAACCAGCCUGAGAGACCAGUGAGUUUGAAGUUCUCACCAGAUGGCCAUCCAUUUGGACAAACAUCACUGUGGGUCACCAAUAAAACUGAGUGAGGCACUCCUUCCAUCUUGA